This 464-nucleotide ribosomal RNA is filed under the name uncultured bacterium. Its description in RNAcentral is "partial 16S ribosomal RNA". It matches the Rfam family "Bacterial small subunit ribosomal RNA", at positions 29 to 507 of the family's 1533-position model. The record is from RNAcentral.
ACGCACGCUGGCGGCGUGCUUAACACAUGCAAGUCGCACGGUAAGGCUCCAGCUUGCUGGGGUACACGAGUGGCGAACGGGUGAGUAACACGUGGGUGACCUGCCCUGCACUUCGGGAUAAGCCUGGGAAACUGGGUCUAAUACCGGAUAGGACCGCACCGUGAGGGUGUGGUGGAAAGUUUUUUCGGUGUGGGAUGGGCCCGCGGCCUAUCAGCUUGUUGGUGGGGUAAUGGCCUACCAAGGCGGCGACGGGUAGCCGGCCUGAGAGGGUGGACGGCCACAUUGGGACUGAGACACGGCCCAGACUCCUACGGGAGGCAGCAGUGGGGAAUAUUGCACAAUGGGCGGAAGCCUGAUGCAGCGACGCCGCGUGGGGGAUGACGGCCUUCGGGUUGUAAACUCCUUUCACCAUCGACGAAGGGUUUCUGACGGUAGAUGGAGAAGAAGCACCGGCUAACUACGUG